This is a long non-coding RNA of Harmonia axyridis, 3618 nucleotides long. RefSeq lists it as uncharacterized. The transcript has 5 exons. The record is from RefSeq and is a predicted model, not a curated record. NCBI's taxonomy places the organism in Eukaryota, Metazoa, Arthropoda, Insecta, Coleoptera, Coccinellidae.
AUUCAAAUUUUCCCGCCAUAUAACACUUAGUGAUGACGGACAAAAUAUCGGCCAUAUUGUUACCUUGAUUUAACACGGCGUUAGCACUUCUUAUAUAUUUAGUAUUCUGUGGUUAUUACCUCGGACCGCUCGGACAUGUCUGAACCGUUCGUUUAUUACAUCCAGAUUGAGGGGAAUACACAUCUGGAGCGUUCGGCAAAUAUAUCUGAGCAAUCGGAUGUCGAUCUUUUUCAUCGGACGGUUUCGACCUAGCAAAACGAUUUUAUCCACAGAGUUUACCUUUGUCUAUGGAUUAUUGGAUUUUAUCUGUCUUUGAUGUUUGUUUAUUUAUACAAAUAACAUUUCGUCGUAGUUUGUAUUGAAAAAUUCAAAUACCUAACUUGUUAUACUUCUUUAAUUGGAUUUUAAAUAAAAUUAUGGUUAUGGAAUGCAGAUAACAAAUGAAUAGGCAGUGUGUAUAUUUUUGGAAUGAGAUAUCUGGUGGUGACUUUGGACAAUAUCAUUAGUAAGACUUUGGGGACAGAUAAUUUUUUCGUGUAAUUAUAUAAAGCGUUGUGCAUGUUCAGUUUAUUCAGAAGAGCGAUGGACAUUCAAGCUAUGGAUAUGAAGAAAAAGGCCAAGCUUUUAAAAAAGCUGACCAUGUGUACAAUAUAUGAAGUGGACUGGUUUCAUUACUUCUAAAUAAAUGAGACAGACUUCAGUGAAUUUUCCACCUUAUUAUAUCGAAAUUAUGUAAUAGAUGAAGCAGAAGAAAUUUACUCCUUCAAGGGUAUCGACUGGGACGUCAGUGUCCCAGAAGUAUUUUAUAAAUGUCCUGUUCGCCAAUAAAUAUACCCAGCAUGGAAUCAAUUGGGAAUAUAAAGCCAGAUCAGUGUAUUCAAGGUACUAUAUCUAUAUUUGUGUCAGCAAAUAGUUAUAUUAUAGAAUAAUUAUCAUACGAAAGUUUAAGAGAAAAAAAUACCAUAUUCAGGAAAAGGACUUGAAGUUUGUCAGUUGGACCCGAAGCUUGUUUCUUUUCUGAAUGGUGUUAUUUUCAAGAAUGGGGAGUCAGUGAAAUUAUUGGAAAUAAAAUGUCUAUUCAUUGGUCAAAUUAUUUCUGCUGAAAAUACUGAGCACCAUUGCCAAUAUUUGAGAAGAGGAAAAGCCAGCUAAUUUGAAAGAAUGAAUAAAUAUUAUGCUAGAGUGAUUAAGUAUGGCAAUUAUGAAUUUGAAAAAUUGCGACUCUAUAGUGUUCUCAUCUGGUGAUAAGACGUUCAAAACUGUUAGUGAGCCAUUUGAUGAAGAAUUCACAAAAAAAUAAUUCUUAAAACUUGAAAUGAUUUAUUUUAAAAAUAUGCUUUACACAUUGUGUAGCAUAAAAGUUUAAAUUCUUCAAUUAGAAAGAUAUUUUUCCAAGCUUUAAUUAUGCUGUAAUAAGACCAUCCAGUAUAAGAAAAGUUCCGAAUCAUACAUGUCUGAAGUUAUACAGGUUAUAACUUCCAGACUAUUGAAAAAUUUGAGUCCAGUUGUUAUUAGUAAGAGAGUAAAGGAUUUGCUAUUGGAUCAUACAAUAUACAGGUUGAGUGAUUUAUUUGCCAUACUUAAUCAGACUCUAGCAUAAUGUUUAUUCAUUCUUUCAAAUUAGCUGGCUUUUCCUCUUCUCAAAUAUUGGCAAUGGUGCUCAGUAUUUUCAGCAGAAAUAAUUUGACCUGAAAUUAUAAACAAUUAUAAAAAUAAUCUCUAUAACUUACUAGAAACUUACCAAUGAAUAGACAUUUGAUUUCCAAUAAUUUCACUGACUCCCCAUUCUUGAAAAUAACACCAUUCGGAAAAGAAACAAGCCUCGGGUCCAACUGACAAACUUCAAGUCCUUUUCCCGAAUAUGGUAUUUUUUCUCUUAAACUUUCGUAUGAUAAUAAACCAUUAGCUGACACAAACAUAGAUAUAGUACCUUGAAUACACUGAUCUGCAUUAUAUUCCCAAUUAAUUCCAUGCUGGGUAUAUUUAUUGCCGAACAGGACAUUUAUAAAAUACUUCUGGGACACUGAUGUCCCGAUACCCUUGAAGGAGUAAAUUUCUUCUGCUUCAUUCAUUACAUAAUUUCAAUAUAAUAAGGUGGAAAAUUCACUGAAGUCUGUCUCAUUUAUUUAGAAGUAAUGAAACCAGUCCACUUCAUAUAUUGUAAACAUGGUCAGCUUUUUUAAAAGCUUGGCCUUUUUCUUCAUAUCCCUAGCUUGAAUGUCCAUCGCUCUUCUGAAUAAACUGAACAUGCACAACGCUUUAUAUAAUUCAACGAAAAAAUUAUCUGUCCCCAAAGUCUUACUAAUGAUAUUGUCCAAAGUCACCACCAGAUAUCUCAUUCCAAAAAUAUAUACACUGCCUAUCCAUUUGUUAUCUGCAUUCCAUCUGGAUGUAAUAAACGAACGGUUCAGACAAGUCCGAGCGGUCCGAGAAGAGCGAUGGACAUUCAAGCUAGGGAUAUGAAGAAAAAGGUCAAGCUUUUAAAAAAGCUGACCAUGUUCACAAUAUAUGAAGCGGACUGGUUUCAUUACUUCUAAAUAAAUGAGACAGACUUCAGUGAAUUUUCCGCCUAAUUAUAUCGAAAUUAUGUAAGUGAAGCAGAAGAAAUUUAAUCCUUCAAGGGUAUCGACUGGGACAUCAGCAAGUCCCAGAAGUAUUUUAUAAAGGUCCUGUUCGGCCAUAAAUAUACCCAGCAUGGAAUUAAUUGGGAAUAUAAAGCCAGAUCAGUGUAUUCAAGUUUCAGAGAAAAAAUACCAUAUUCGGGAAAAGGACUUGAAGUUUGUCAGUUGGACCCGAGGCUUGUUUCUUUUCUGAAUGGUGUUAUUUUCAAGAAUGGGGAGUAAGUGAAAUUAUUGGAAAUCAAAUGUCUAUUCAUUGGUCAAACUAUUUCUGCUGAAAAUACUGAGCACCAUUGCCAAUAUUUGAGAAGAGGAAAAGCCAGCUAAUUUGGAAGAAUGAAUAAACAUUAUGCUAGAGACUGAUUAAGUAUGGCAAUUAUGAAUUUGAAAGAUUGCUACUAGUGUUCUCAUCUGGUGAUAAGACGUUCAAAACUGUUAGUGAGCCAUUUGAUGAAGAAUUCACAAAAAAAUAAUUCUUAAAACUUGAAAUGAUUUAUUUUAAAAAUAUGCUUUACACAUUGUGAUAGCAGAUAGCAUGAAAGUUUAAAUUUUUUAAUUAGAAAGAUAUUUUUCCAAGCCUUAAUUGUGCUGUAAUAAUCCAUCCAGAAUAAGAAAAGUUCCGAAUCAUACAUGUAUGAAGUUAUACAUGUUAUAACUUCCAGAUUAUUGAAAAAUUUGGGUCCAGUUGUAAUUAGUAAGAGAGUAAAGGAUUUGCUAUUGGAUCAUUCAAUAUACAGGUUGAGCGAUUUAUUUAGGAAUAAUUUUUGUAAAUAUUAUUUGAUAAUUUGUAACUACAAACAUAUUUAUGUUUUCAUUACAAUGACUAUUAAUACUAUUCAUUUAUAGUUUAAGAUUUUUUGAUUGACAAGCCAUGUAAACUUUUGAUGGCGUUUGUUCUUAUGGAUUUCUUGUGUGCAAAUAAAUUAUUAUUAUUAUCAAAUACUGCAUUGAUUUUACAUAUCAUUUAUUUAUCCUAUGGCAGUAAGUUAUCCCAUCACAC